Molecule: ribosomal RNA, 775 nt
Filed under: uncultured Neocallimastigales
Lineage: Eukaryota; Fungi; Neocallimastigomycota; Neocallimastigomycetes; Neocallimastigales
Description: partial large subunit ribosomal RNA
Rfam family: Eukaryotic large subunit ribosomal RNA
Source: RNAcentral
AGUAGUCUCGCACAGAUGCAUAUCAAUAAGCGGAGGAAAAGAAACUAACAAGGAUUCCCCUAGUAACGGCGAGUGAAGCGGGAAGAGCUCAAAUUUGAAAUCUUAAAGGGUUUCCCUUUACGAAUUGUAGUUUAAAGAAGUGUUUUCUGUUGAGGUUUUGGUAAAAGUUCUUUGGAAUAGGACAUCAUAGAGGGUGAGAAUCCCGUAUUUGACCUUUACUUUCAACUUUGUGAUACACUUUCAAAGAGUCGGAUUGUUUGGGAAUGCAGUCCAAAAUGGGUGGUAAAUUUCAUCUAAAGCUAAAUAUUGGCGAGAGACCGAUAGCGAACAAGUACCGUGAGGGAAAGAUGAAAAGAACUUUGAAAAGAGAGUUAAACAGUACGUGAAAUUGUCAAAAGGGAAGCGUUUGACACCAGCGUUGUUUUUCUGAAAAUCAAUUAAAGAACUGUUUAUGCUAAGCUGUUUAGACUUUAUCAGCUAACUGUUUAGUUUUGAGCUUUUCUUUAAUGCACUUUUCAGUUAACAAGUCAACAUCAAUUUCUUUUGCUGUAAAAAAGCUUGAGGAAGGUGGCUUGAGAUUCGUCUUAAGUGUUUAUAGCCUCUUGCCUAUGCAGUCGGAGAGAUUGAGGUCUGCAGCGUAGAUCCUUCGGGGCUAAAUGCAUUUGUGCUAAGUUAUAGCAUUUUAUAGACAACUUGUUGACUAUGAUUUGUCUUGUAGCUUACUCGCUUAUGUUAUUUUACCUACGCUUAGGAUGUUGAAGACUCUACAGAGAUA